This 20-nucleotide microRNA is filed under the name Ciona intestinalis (vase tunicate). RNAcentral describes it as "cin-miR-4183-5p". The record is from miRBase by way of RNAcentral. Lineage: Eukaryota; Metazoa; Chordata; Ascidiacea; Phlebobranchia; Cionidae.
AGCGGGAAGGAGUGGCCGGU